CCUAUUUUUUUUUUCUUUUUCAGUUUAUCAUUCUCUAAAGUCGAAACCAUCGUCGUGGUUAUCAUCAACUGAACUGAACAUGUUUGGCCGUGAUCAGUUAUUGAAAGCAAAAAAGAAACAAAUAUGUUUUUCUUUCAAUUUUAAAACACUCUGAAACAGAGCCUCUCGAACAUUCAAAUCUUUAUCAAGUAAGCCUUACAGACAGCACUUAACCAUAACUAUAUCGUUAUCUCAUCCGUUAUGCUUUUCUUUUUCUUACAUUCAAUUCCCACACUUCUUCAUUUCUCUUACCUCCAACCAUUUACUUCAACUCUCUUCUUUCCUUCUUUCUUAUUGUUUAGGGUUUUGUAGGCGAUUUAGGAACGUUUUGGGCAUUGAUUGUUGUUGGGAUUUCACCGGAUUGAAAAUCAAAUUUUGGGGUUUUUAUAUUUUCUGGGAAUUUAAUUUAUGGGCUGGUGGAGAUUUCAAUUCUUAAAAAUUGAGAGGUUUUGGGGAUUGAUUUCAGGCUGUUGAUUGCUGGGCGUAUUGGGAAAUUGGAGCAACUCGGCUGAAAUCUUUUUCCUUCUUUUGUGUGACUUGGCUUUUGAGCUGAAUUUUGCUGAAUUCAUUUGAAACUAAGAGGCUAGGAUCUCUUUGUUUUGCUUCUUUUACAUGCUCCUCAG
This 662-nucleotide long non-coding RNA is filed under the name Panax ginseng (ginseng). RNAcentral describes it as "long non-coding RNA (PGIN_LNC017004)". Lineage: Eukaryota; Viridiplantae; Streptophyta; Magnoliopsida; Apiales; Araliaceae. The record is from RNAcentral.